AAAUACCAAACAAAAACAAGUCGUCUCCUCAAACCAAACCAAGGAAAACUUCACUCACGCACACACACCUGAAUCCGUUUCAUUCCUCACAUGUUUUUAUUGUUUUGUUGUUGUUUUGUUUUUUGUCUCUCUCCCUCUUUAUUCCUGCAUAC
This 152-nucleotide non-coding RNA is filed under the name Platyophrya macrostoma. The record is from RNAcentral. Lineage: Eukaryota; Ciliophora; Colpodea; Cyrtolophosidida; Platyophryidae.